GCGUGAGUGAUGAAGGUUUUAGGAUCGUAAAGCUCUGUCAGAGGGGAAGAAACUAUUGUCGUAUAAUACAUGGCAGUACUGACGGUACCCUCAAAGGAAGCACCGGCUAACUCCGUGCCAGCAGCCGCGGUAAUACGGAGGGUGCAAGCGUUGUUCGGAAUUAUUGGGCGUAAAGAGCAUGUAGGCGGUUGUUUAAGUCUGGUGUGAAAGCCCGGGGCUCAACCCCGGAAGUGCAUUGGAUACUGGGCAACUUGAGUACGGGAGAGGAAAGUGGAAUUCCGAGUGUAGGGGUGAAAUCCGUAGAUAUUCGGAGGAACACCAGUGGCGAAGGCGGCUUUCUGGACCGAUACUGACGCUGAGAUGCGAAAGCGUGGGGAGCAAACAGGAUUAGAUACCCUGGUAGUCCACGCCGUAAACGAUGGGUACUAGGUGUCGCGGGUAUUGACCCCUGCGGUGCCGCACUAACGCAUUAAGUACCCCGCCUGGGGAGUACGGCCGCAAGGCU
RNAcentral lists this ribosomal RNA (505 nucleotides) under uncultured bacterium. RNAcentral describes it as "bacterial SSU rRNA". It matches the Rfam family "Bacterial small subunit ribosomal RNA", at positions 399 to 895 of the family's 1533-position model. The record is from RNAcentral.